GAAAUGCGAUAAGUAAUGUGAAUUGCAGAAUUCAGUGAAUCAUCGAAUCUUUGAACGCACCUUGUGCUCCUUGGUAUUCCUUGGAGCAUGCCUGUUUGAGUAUCAUGAAAUCUUCAAAGUAAAUCUUUUGUUAACUCAAUUGGUUUCUACUUUGGUAUUGGAGGUCUUUGCAGCUUCACACCUGCUCCUCUUUGUUCAUUAGCUGGAUCUCAGUGUUAUGCUUGGUUCCACUCGGCGUGAUAAGUUAUCUAUCGCUGAGGACACUGUAAAAGGUGGCCAAGGUAAAUGCAGAUGAACCGCUUCUAAUAGUCCAUUGACUUGGACAAUAUUUUUAUGAUCUGAUCUCAAAUCAGGUAGGACUACCCGCUGAACUUAAGC
RNAcentral lists this unclassified non-coding RNA (378 nucleotides) under plant metagenome. Its description in RNAcentral is "partial contains 5.8S ribosomal RNA, internal transcribed spacer 2, and large subunit ribosomal RNA". The stretch from base 1 to 105 matches the Rfam family "5.8S ribosomal RNA", at positions 50 to 154 of the family's 154-position model. The record is from RNAcentral.